AGUUCCGCGCGAGAGGAAAGUCCGGACACCGCAGGGCAGGAUUCCCCGCGAAAGCGGGGGCGGCGCGCGCAAAGCGCGUUGACGGACAGUGUCACAGAAAACAGACCGCCGGCGCGGAAACGCGUCGGUAAGGGUGAAAAGGCGAGGCAAGAGCUCACCGCUCCCGAGGCGACGAGGGAGGCAGGACAAACCCAAUCCGGUGCAAGGCAAAAUAGGCGAGCGGGCGGCCCGUCCGAUGCUCGCGGGUAUGCCGCACCGCCGCAAGGCGGGGGCCGCGGGAACGCGGUUCAGAGGAAUGAAUGCGGCCGCGGAAGCGCGCAAGCGCCGAGGCGGCACGGAAUCCGGCUUACAGCG
RNAcentral lists this RNase P RNA (354 nucleotides) under human gut metagenome. Its description in RNAcentral is "Bacterial RNase P class A". The stretch from base 1 to 273 matches the Rfam family "Bacterial RNase P class A", at positions 31 to 304 of the family's 367-position model. From Rfam's summary of the family: Ribonuclease P (RNase P) is a ubiquitous endoribonuclease, found in archaea, bacteria and eukarya as well as chloroplasts and mitochondria. Its best characterised activity is the generation of mature 5'-ends of tRNAs by cleaving the 5'-leader elements of precursor-tRNAs. Cellular RNase Ps are ribonucleoproteins. RNAcentral also lists the same sequence under 1 other name. The record is from RNAcentral.